Long non-coding RNA from Malaclemys terrapin pileata, 5142 nucleotides. RefSeq lists it as uncharacterized. NCBI's taxonomy places the organism in Eukaryota, Metazoa, Chordata, Testudines, Emydidae. The transcript is spliced from 2 exons. The record is from RefSeq and is a predicted model, not a curated record.
GAUAAAAAGAAUUGAGAAGUUAUUUUCAUGCCUGGCUUUGUACACAGGAUUUAUUCCACUCAUCUUAAAAAAAGAAUUCAGUAAAAUGAUUUAGGAUCUUGUUACAAAUUCACUAGGGUGGCUCAGUCUAAUAAACCCAUUUACAGAGCAAAAAAAAACUACAUUUCUCCAGUGAACUAAUUCCUUUCUUCCUUUCUAAUUAAAAAUUAAUAAAUCCACUCCUCUCAUUUCAGUGAAUGGACAUUGAAAAACUUUAUAGAAUUUUCAGGGAUUAUUUUUUGUGUUGAUGUUCAUGCAGUGUUUCCCCCUCCCCCUUAGCCGAGGAGGGGCGGAAGGAGAUUCUAUGCUGCAGUUAGUGAGUCUGUCACCAGUCUAUAAAAUGUCCUCCUCCCCACUUACUGUUAGAGUUGCAGGCAGGCGAGCUAGGGAGAAAGGGCAGGUGGAGAGGGAAAUAAAACAGGGAAAGGGGAAACAGCCCAGGAAUAGCUUUAAAAAAAGUUAACAAACUAGGUUAAUAAUCUAUUGGAAACUAUAGCUAAUAUUUUUUAAAGUAAAUCAGUAAAGAGGAUUUUACUCUUAAAAUAUUAAUUAUAGUUUGAUAAUUAAAAAGAUAUGGUUAACUAGUGCACCGCUGGUUUUUAAACCACUUAAUGCUCUUAAAAACAGGAAAUAUGAAGAUUUUUAAUAUGAAAGGCAAUUGGAAGAGGAGAGAAGAAUCAAAGAAUCAGAAGUAUUCAAUAAGUUCAGGAGGGUGAUCAGCGGAGGUUUGGGUAAAGGUUGAAAGAAAAUGGGCAUUUUAAAUGCCUCCAAAAUAAAAAUUUAACCAAGAAAACCUUGAAGAUAAAUUUAAGAAAAAACAAGAAAAAAAUUGAAGAUUAAGAAAAUGCUAAAUUUUGAAAUAUAGAUCUUGCAUUUUAAAAAAAGGCAAAAGAAGAAUUUAAAAUUUGAAGAUAAUUGGGAAAGAAAAAUUUAAAAUUUGAAGAUAAGAAAAAACAAGAUUUAAAAAACGAAGAUUAAUUUAGAAGCAAAACAAGACAAAAAUAAAAUUGAAGAUAAAUUGAAACCCAAAAUAUGCUUUAAACCAGUUUGGGGUGAAAAAAUAUAUUAAGAAUGCUGGCUGUUUUUAAAACGCCAGAUUAAGUCUGCUUCAAGCAGAAGAAAAUAUGAAGAAACAAAGAUUUUAUUUAAAAGGCAAAGUGAUUUUUAGAAAAGAAAAUAUUAGAAACACAAGGUUGGGGAAGAUUUUCAAGACAGGAGACUGAGAAGAGAGAAGGUUGUGGUUUGUUUUUUUGGUAAUAUUAGAAGGCAGAAGGUAACUUAGAAGAGGACCCAGGAAAAGAGAAGAGAGAAGGGGAGUUGCAUUUUAAAGAUGAGCAAAAUAUAUCUAACUAUAGUAGAUUAGUUAAAAAAUGUGAAGACAGGCGGGUGAAAAAGACUUACAUUGAUACUUGUAACAAAAAAUCUAAGGAGUAAUAUUUGCUGAAGAAUUUAAUCACUUAAUGCAAGCUAGCUCAGUUUUUGUCAUAAAAAUCAAAUUUACAAAUUCAUAGCAUACUAUAACUAUUAAUUCAAAGGACUUUGUGUAUGAAAAUUAUUUCAAGAUCAAGAAUAAUCUUUAAAAGAUGUAUUUUUUGUGUUGGACUAAAUGGAAAAAAUUUGUCUUGGGCUAAAAAGUUUUUAAAAAAAUAGCUGACAAAGGACUAGAAUAAAACCAGCAGCCAUUUUACAUCUGAUGCAUUGAUCAAGGCGGAAUGUGGAUUCAGUGAAGCUAGAAAGACAGGAUUUCAAGGAGCCAGUGCAAAUUGGUGAAGUUAGAGGGGGAAAAAGAGCCAGUGCAAAUUGGUGAAACUAGAGGAAAAAAGAAUCACGGAAAACAAGAUCAAGCAAGAAAUUUUUGAAAUAAUAGAUUAGAGGCUUCUAGAUCAAGAUACCAUUGUGAAAGGCAGAAGUGGAAAAAUGAGUGAAGACAGCAAUAAUUUAACCUGUAGUUGGUAACCUACUUUCUCCUUGAUUUCUUUAAAACACUAUUUUCUUUGCUAUACUCUUUAUUAAUAGUAAUUUGUAAACGUGCUUAUUGUUAUGAGAGGGGGUUUGUUUGGAGUGGGUCAAGUCGUGGUGUGUCGUAGGUUUUUCUCUUUGCAGGCUUAUUUACUCAUUGCAUCUUGUCUGGAAGCUAAUGGGCAGUCUGCCAAGGCCUGGAGAGUGUGGUCAUCUUCCCGAGUGUUUAGAAAACUGCUGGAAUUUUCCUUUCGGCUUUAGGAGUGAGUGGUAGCUAGCGUCUGUAUUGCUGUAACCCUACCCAAAUUGGGGAAGUCGUGAGCCUGGUGGAGCGACAAGCAUCUCUGGUGGCAGUGAAGUGUAAGCAAAUCACAUAUAAUUUUUUUAAAAGAUUAUUGCCCAACAGAACAACAAACUUUGUUUGUUCACGUCUUAAAAUAUUGUAGGUUAUGUAUAUUAUUCCCCAUAUCCUUGCCUGUUCCUAGCAAGAGAAAAUAAAUGUAUUUUUGCCACGCAUUCUAGUGGGAAGGGAAAAGGCUUUUGUUAGUCUUGCUCAGUGUUUUUUUUUUCCUUGAAGGGAGGGGAAGGGGACCAGAAACUUCUUCAGUUUUUUUCCCUAGGUGUGUCUAGAUCCUAGAGCCAGACGACUGGAGAGGUGCCAAUGUAAAGGAUAAAAGAGAACCAGUAAUCAGGAUAAAACCUCUAUUGUAUUGAUGAUGGCAGUGGUUUAGAAAUGUGAUUGACCUAUAUUGCAGCUGUAGAUAUCAAUUCAAGUGUGUGGAGAAACUGGCCAGACAGAGGGAAAUGCAAGUUAAUUAUAUUCUAUUUUUAUAAGUUUGGAUUCUUCAUAAAGUAAUUUACAUUUUUUUAAUUAUCAAACUAUAAAGGUACGAUUUUUUUGGGAGAGGGAAACCUUUUUGUGUAUGUUGAAAAGGGUGGUGGUGGGUAGGGAUAAAAACAAGCUUGUUUCUAGACUCUUUGCAGAUACUAUAGUUCCUAUUGGCUUGGUUAGAAGUGUGGUUCUGUCUACUGUGCUGUUGCGAGAACAUUCCCCAGAGUCGGAGCAGCUUUUACCUUGGAAGAAAGGACAGUUUACCUAAAAUGGAGUUGGAAAGUUGGAUUGGAGCUUGUAUUCAGGAUUCAUGGUCGUUCAGUCAUCCUCUAAGGAGAAUUUAAGAAGAGCUUGGCUAGUCCAAACUUGAAAGUUAAGUUUUCUCUAGUAAACAAACAAAACAGCCAAUCUUUGAUACAGUAUGUGUGUUGUGGGUGGAAUUUUAGGUGCAGUUUUAUAUGGCUUGACAUAUUUGUGGGGGUGGGGCAACAUAAUCGUCUAUAUGUUCUUCAGAGUCUCUCCCUAAACUGCAGAAACAUCCAUAACUUUAGGACUGAAAAAAAGAAUGUUCAGCUUCAAUCCUGGCAAGUAAUUCUCAUAAUGUAGCUUUAAAUUGUUCUUGGGGAAGUACCCCAUUGAAUAAUUGGGAAUGUUCACACAGGGCCCAUAUGCAUGUAUAUACUUAAAAUGCACACCGUGCUAGAAAGAGAAUAGACAACGUUAAAACUUUAACCCAGACUAUCACAAAGUAGCUUGUUUAAUUUUUUUUUCCUGUAGCAUGAAACUUACCAAAAAUACUCUCUCAGAAGUGGAAAGCUUCCACUAGUCCAAAUUAACAUGGACUUAAGAUAAAAAACACACAUUCAAAUCCUUUUGUAACUAUUAGGGUUGUGGUGUCUAGACGCAUAUUAUGGUGCAUAUCUGUAAUUGUGGGAAUCGAUUUGAAACCUUGGAUAUAGUGGUGUGUGGCUUCUUCUUUUUUUGGCAUUUUUUUUCAGGUGCUUAAUGUAACUUAAUGCUACUGUAGAGACUUCAGAGAGAAAGAAGUUGCUUAAUGACCCUGGUGUGAUUCCUUCUGAUGGUAGCUUGUGUAUUUUUCAAACAUUUUUCAGAUCCGCCAUCAGAAUCAUAGCCCCAACGAGCCCUGAGAAAAUAUGGCCUCAUAAAUGCAGAGGGAACCGCUUCUUGGCGAAUGAUAAGUAAAGGCAGAAAAGAUUCUAAUAUUCCUUACUACUUGAUGGAAAAGGAUCCCAGAUGUUAACAAGUGAAAAUCCAAUGUGUCUACGAAAAAAAAAAAAAGCCAUAACCAAUGAAACUGACAAAUUUGAAGUAAUAAGCAUUGACUAUCAAUUAUCUGAUCAGAAUAUUUGCUCUAAGAAAUCUCAAAAUUAUAUGCAGUAAAGAGCAAAUGGCCUUCUUGAAAUACAUAAUUUCAUUAAAGUUGAGUGAACAACAACUUCCACUUCAUUGCAAUUAAAUUGAAAGAAAAUACCGGGCGGAAAAAAUGCAUAUGCAAAUACAUAUGGCUUCUACCAAACUAUUUGGUAUGAAUAUUACCACCUAAAUCUUACGGAUUUGAAGAAAGAAUAUGAAUUAUUUUGAAACCACAAUCUAAUUUGGGAUCAACUUUCACUACUGUUGGAUUUGAGAGGAGGCUUGUGCUGUGUUCCACUGUUUACCUGAGACAGGUUUUCUGCACUAUUAAUGAGGAGUUUUGCUUCAUUUCAUCUGGGAGCUGAAAAAAACAAGCAGGCAUCUAUUACAGAUAAGUUUAUCAAUUAUAUCGGCAGAUAUUGCAUGUUAGGGAAAUGUACUUUUUAAAUGCUAUGAAGCAGUGGAAGCCCUAAACAUCUGAACUGGCAUUUCUCAUUCCCAGCCUUUAGCAGUGUGUGGAAUGGGUAUGAGGGACUUAACCUACCCCUGUGCCUAUUCAGGGCUGCACUUCCACUUUCUAAAUUCCUUUCUCCUCUGUGCACAGGCCACAGUUGGAUAGUGCCCAUCACCUACAGGCAGAUGAGCAUAGCAGCAAUGCUGUGGUGCUUCCGAACAAACAUGCAAUGUAUAUCCUCCUUUGGAGGCUGAGCCUACUCUGGGCCUACAGUUUGAGAGCCUAAAAUGCUAUACCAAACAGCACAUUAUGCUGCCAAAAAACACACCUUAUUUUUCUGCUAUUUUGUAGCAUUAAAAUAUAUGCAGAAAACAUGGGAUUAAAAAAAAAAGCUAUAAAGGUACCUGUUAAUAAAGUUACUGAUGUGCUCUAAGAAUAGACAGUUUGUCUUCAUUUUUAUUAAUAAAAAUGUGCUGUCAAUGUU